This 273-nucleotide unclassified non-coding RNA is filed under the name Hevea brasiliensis (rubber tree). The record is from RNAcentral. Lineage: Eukaryota; Viridiplantae; Streptophyta; Magnoliopsida; Malpighiales; Euphorbiaceae.
GGGAAUUUGAAUGACCGACUCAUUAGCAGCAGCAUUUGCAUCUUCAUAAUGAAGCAGUAUUGGAGUCAGAUUUAAUAUUUUCGUGGGAAUUUUUUUCAAGGAAUGAGAGAAAUUUUGGUAUGCAUACUAGCAUUUUGUAUGAACAUUUUAAAGUUUUAGACCUAUUGUAUUAGGGAUACCCAAUGAAGGGUAGCCCAUAUAUAUACUUACUCAAACUCUACACUACUCAAUAAUGUUCACUAGUAUUUCUAAUUUCUAGGGUGAAUCCAUUUG